ACGCUCGACACCUACGGGGGGCAGCAGUUGGGAAUAUUGGACAAUGGAGGAAACUCUGAUCCAGUGACGCCGCGUGAAGGAAGAAGGUCUUCGGAUUGUAAACUUAUUUUGUCAGGGAAGAAAAAUGACUGUACCUGAAGAAAAAGCACCGGCUAACUACGUGCCAGCACGCCGGACGGUAAUCUGGAGGGCCGGGCGUGGACGAAGGC
Molecule: ribosomal RNA, 209 nt
Filed under: uncultured bacterium
Lineage: Bacteria
Description: partial 16S ribosomal RNA
Rfam family: Bacterial small subunit ribosomal RNA
Source: RNAcentral